AUACGUAGGGUGCGAGCGUUGUCCGGAAUUACUGGGCGUAAAGAGCCCGUAGGUGGUUUGUCGCGUCGUCUGUGAAAUUCCGGGGCUUAACUCCGGGCGUGCAGGCGAUACGGGCAUAACUUGGGUACUGUAGGGGAGACUGGAAUUCCUGGUGUAGCGGUGAAAUGCGCAGAUAUCAGGAGGAACACCGGUGGCGAAGGCGGGUCUCUGGGCAGUAACUGACGCUGAGGAGCGAAAGCAUGGGUAGCGAACAGGAUUAGAUACCCUGGUAGUCCAUGCCGUAAACGGUGGGCGCUAGGUGUAGGGGUCUUCCACGACUUCUGUGCCGUAGCUAACGCAUUAAGCGCCCCGCCUGGGGAGUACGGCCGCAAGGCUAAAACUCAAAUGAAUUGACGGGG
This 398-nucleotide ribosomal RNA is filed under the name uncultured bacterium. RNAcentral describes it as "partial 16S ribosomal RNA". It matches the Rfam family "Bacterial small subunit ribosomal RNA", at positions 523 to 918 of the family's 1533-position model. The record is from RNAcentral.